RNAcentral lists this ribosomal RNA (2924 nucleotides) under Salmonella enterica subsp. enterica serovar Wandsworth str. SA20092095. RNAcentral's name for it is "bacterial LSU rRNA". It matches the Rfam family "Bacterial large subunit ribosomal RNA". The record is from RNAcentral. Lineage: Bacteria; Pseudomonadati; Pseudomonadota; Gammaproteobacteria; Enterobacterales; Enterobacteriaceae.
GGGUUGUGAGGUUAAGCGACUAAGCGUACACGGUGGAUGCCCUGGCAGUCAGAGGCGAUGAAGGGCGUGCUAAUCUGCGAUAAGCGCCGGUAAGGUGAUAUGAACCGUUAUAACCGGCGAUACCCGAAUGGGGAAACCCAGUGUGACUCGUCACACUAUCAUUAACUGAAUCCAUAGGUUAAUGAGGCGAACCGGGGGAACUGAAACAUCUAAGUACCCCGAGGAAAAGAAAUCAACCGAGAUUCCCCCAGUAGCGGCGAGCGAACGGGGAGGAGCCCAGAGCCUGAAUCAGCAUGUGUGUUAGUGGAAGCGUCUGGAAAGGCGCGCGAUACAGGGUGACAGCCCCGUACACAAAAGCGCAUGUGCUGUGAGCUCGAUGAGUAGGGCGGGACACGUGGUAUCCUGUCUGAAUAUGGGGGGACCAUCCUCCAAGGCUAAAUACUCCUGACUGACCGAUAGUGAACCAGUACCGUGAGGGAAAGGCGAAAAGAACCCCGGCGAGGGGAGUGAAAAAGAACCUGAAACCGUGUACGUACAAGCAGUGGGAGCACCCUUCGGGGUGUGACUGCGUACCUUUUGUAUAAUGGGUCAGCGACUUAUAUUCUGUAGCAAGGUUAACCGUAUAGGGGAGCCGGAGGGAAACCGAGUCUUAACCGGGCGUUAAGUUGCAGGGUAUAGACCCGAAACCCGGUGAUCUAGCCAUGGGCAGGUUGAAGGUUGGGUAACACUAACUGGAGGACCGAACCGACUAAUGUUGAAAAAUUAGCGGAUGACCUGUGGCUGGGGGUGAAAGGCCAAUCAAACCGGGAGAUAGCUGGUUCUCCCCGAAAGCUAUUUAGGUAGCGCCUCGUGAACUCAUCUCCGGGGGUAGAGCACUGUUUCGGCUAGGGGGCCAUCCCGGCUUACCAACCCGAUGCAAACUGCGAAUACCGGAGAAUGUUAUCACGGGAGACACACGGCGGGUGCUAACGUCCGUCGUGAAGAGGGAAACAACCCAGACCGCCAGCUAAGGUCCCAAAGUCAUGGUUAAGUGGGAAACGAUGUGGGAAGGCCCAGACAGCCAGGAUGUUGGCUUAGAAGCAGCCAUCAUUUAAAGAAAGCGUAAUAGCUCACUGGUCGAGUCGGCCUGCGCGGAAGAUGUAACGGGGCUAAACCAUGCACCGAAGCUGCGGCAGCGACACUGUGUGUUGUUGGGUAGGGGAGCGUUCUGUAAGCCUGUGAAGGUGUGUCGUGAGGCAUGCUGGAGGUAUCAGAAGUGCGAAUGCUGACAUAAGUAACGAUAAAGCGGGUGAAAAGCCCGCUCGCCGGAAGACCAAGGGUUCCUGUCCAACGUUAAUCGGGGCAGGGUGAGUCGACCCCUAAGGCGAGGCCGAAAGGCGUAGUCGAUGGGAAACGGGUUAAUAUUCCCGUACUUGGUGUUACUGCGAAGGGGGGACGGAGAAGGCUAUGUUGGCCGGGCGACGGUUGUCCCGGUUUAAGCGUGUAGGCUGGUUUUCCAGGCAAAUCCGGAAAAUCAAGGCUGAGGCGUGACGACGAGGCACUACGGUGCUGAAGCAACAAAUGCCCUGCUUCCAGGAAAAGCCUCUAAGCAUCAGGUAACAUCAAAUCGUACCCCAAACCGACACAGGUGGUCAGGUAGAGAAUACCAAGGCGCUUGAGAGAACUCGGGUGAAGGAACUAGGCAAAAUGGUGCCGUAACUUCGGGAGAAGGCACGCUGACACGUAGGUGAAGUGAUUUACUCAUGGAGCUGAAGUCAGUCGAAGAUACCAGCUGGCUGCAACUGUUUAUUAAAAACACAGCACUGUGCAAACACGAAAGUGGACGUAUACGGUGUGACGCCUGCCCGGUGCCGGAAGGUUAAUUGAUGGGGUCAGCGCAAGCGAAGCUCCUGAUCGAAGCCCCGGUAAACGGCGGCCGUAACUAUAACGGUCCUAAGGUAGCGAAAUUCCUUGUCGGGUAAGUUCCGACCUGCACGAAUGGCGUAAUGAUGGCCAGGCUGUCUCCACCCGAGACUCAGUGAAAUUGAACUCGCUGUGAAGAUGCAGUGUACCCGCGGCAAGACGGAAAGACCCCGUGAACCUUUACUAUAGCUUGACACUGAACAUUGAGCCUUGAUGUGUAGGAUAGGUGGGAGGCUUUGAAGUGUGGACGCCAGUCUGCAUGGAGCCGACCUUGAAAUACCACCCUUUAAUGUUUGAUGUUCUAACGUGGACCCGUAAUCCGGGUUGCGGACAGUGUCUGGUGGGUAGUUUGACUGGGGCGGUCUCCUCCUAAAGAGUAACGGAGGAGCACGAAGGUUGGCUAAUCCUGGUCGGACAUCAGGAGGUUAGUGCAAUGGCAUAAGCCAGCUUGACUGCGAGCGUGACGGCGCGAGCAGGUGCGAAAGCAGGUCAUAGUGAUCCGGUGGUUCUGAAUGGAAGGGCCAUCGCUCAACGGAUAAAAGGUACUCCGGGGAUAACAGGCUGAUACCGCCCAAGAGUUCAUAUCGACGGCGGUGUUUGGCACCUCGAUGUCGGCUCAUCACAUCCUGGGGCUGAAGUAGGUCCCAAGGGUAUGGCUGUUCGCCAUUUAAAGUGGUACGCGAGCUGGGUUUAGAACGUCGUGAGACAGUUCGGUCCCUAUCUGCCGUGGGCGCUGGAGAACUGAGGGGGGCUGCUCCUAGUACGAGAGGACCGGAGUGGACGCAUCACUGGUGUUCGGGUUGUCAUGCCAAUGGCACUGCCCGGUAGCUAAAUGCGGAAGAGAUAAGUGCUGAAAGCAUCUAAGCACGAAACUUGCCCCGAGAUGAGUUCUCCCUGAGACUUUAGGUCUCCUGAAGGAACGUUGAAGACGACGACGUUGAUAGGCCGGGUGUGUAAGCGCAGCGAUGCGUUGAGCUAACCGGUACUAAUGAACCGUGAGGCUUAACCUUACAACGCCGAAG